Lontra canadensis (Northern American river otter) is the source of this 263-nucleotide long non-coding RNA. RefSeq lists it as uncharacterized. The record is from RefSeq and is a predicted model, not a curated record. The transcript is spliced from 3 exons. Lineage: Eukaryota; Metazoa; Chordata; Mammalia; Carnivora; Mustelidae.
CUGGCUGUGUGACUUUAGUUAAAAAACAAAGAUACCUGAAGAAGAAAACCACCACCACAACAAACAAAGAUACUUGAUAUUUUGGUUAGCCUGUGCAACCUGGUCACGGCUGAAAAUGCAUAAUUUCUCUCAGCUUAAAAAAGAAAAAAACAAUUUCCACCUGCUGUGUAUUCAGACCCUUAUCCAUCUGAAGAACCAAAAUCAGGAACCACAGACUUAGGCCAAGCCCCUUAUUUUACAAGUAAAUUAAAAUGCAGACCUCA